This 723-nucleotide long non-coding RNA is filed under the name Rattus norvegicus (Norway rat). RNAcentral's name for it is "long non-coding RNA NONRATT014943". The record is from RNAcentral. Lineage: Eukaryota; Metazoa; Chordata; Mammalia; Rodentia; Muridae.
CCUAGUUUGAAACUGUCAAGUGGCUGCUAGGGAAGCCGCUGUGCUUGCAGUGGUUGUGGCGGUGACGCCGGCUGUCGCGGCGAGUCGGGAGUCGAAGUUUGGCGGAGACGGUGACUACCGGUGGCGGGACCCAGGCCGGUUCCUACCAGUCAGUUUUGGGGGCAUUGUCCCUGGAGGUGCCCAGAAAGAGGACACAAGUGAUGCAAACUAAUUGAAUGCAUCCAUGGCCGAGGGACCGGGACAUACUGAGGGCUGACUGCUGUGUGCCCACAGCUGUUCCCAGUGCUUCAAAGUCAACCUCAUGCUCACACAGCUGGCACUGAACUCGCCGACCUUCCUCCCAGUCUCACUGGCCCACAGUCCUUGCUUCGGUGAGUAGCAGAAUACUUCAUCUAGUUACUCUGGACACAGAUAUGUCCGCAUCUGUAGUCCCACUCGGAUGUUUCAAGUGCUCAUUGAUCAUGAGCUCGUAUGGUCACCACUGUAGCACAGCCAUCUCAGAGCCACACCUCAGAGCCCUUGCCAAGGCUGCAUUCACAUUUGUCUCCUAGGUCAGUUCUGAGGAGAACCUUUACUGCUUGGAUUACUAUAGUUGGCUCCCGAUGGACUGGACUCUAGGUUUAGAAUCCCAGUCCGUCCCAAAGCUUUCAGAGUAACGUUUCUUCUCUUAAAAUAUCAGUCUUUUAAAAGGGCAGUGUUCGGAAAUGUAGCUGUACAGUAAAG